GAACUGAAGAGUUUGAUCAUGGCUCAGAUUGAACGCUGGCGGCAGGCCUAACACAUGCAAGUCGAGCGGUAGAGGGAAGCUUGCUUCUCUUGAGAGCGGCGGACGGGUGAGUAAUGCCUAGGAAUCUGCCUGGUAGUGGGGGAUAACGCUCGGAAACGGACGCUAAUACCGCAUACGUCCUACGGGAGAAAGCAGGGGACCU
This 202-nucleotide ribosomal RNA is filed under the name Pseudomonas lini. Its description in RNAcentral is "partial 16S ribosomal RNA". It matches the Rfam family "Bacterial small subunit ribosomal RNA", at positions 1 to 213 of the family's 1533-position model. The record is from RNAcentral. Lineage: Bacteria; Pseudomonadati; Pseudomonadota; Gammaproteobacteria; Pseudomonadales; Pseudomonadaceae.